AGCUCGAUGCGAGGAGGCAGAACCAUUUCAGGUUUUUCUCAGAGGUGAUCAAGUUCCGACAUUUACACCAUAUAUUCAAGCACGAAAAUUUCCUCAACGAAGGCGACAUUACAUGGCAUUAAGAUCAAUGGGAGAAUCAUGAGAGCACUUUCCUAGCUUUCACGCUCCAUGAUGGUGUAAGCGGCCAAGACGUCUAUGCGGCUUUCAAUGCCCAUAAUUUUUAGGUCAAUCCUCAUCUCCCACUGCCACCUACGGGAAAACAAUGGUUCCGCGUGGCUGACACAAACCUCGAGUCACCAGAUGAUUUUGUAAGGGAAGGUGUGGCAGGCUUGGCUGACAAAUACAAUAUGGCUCCAUUCUCUUCGAACCUUCUCAAGUCCCUGUAAAGGAAAGCACAUUCCUGAUCUUCUUUG
Molecule: long non-coding RNA, 413 nt
Organism: Raphanus sativus (radish)
Lineage: Eukaryota; Viridiplantae; Streptophyta; Magnoliopsida; Brassicales; Brassicaceae
Exons: 4
Source: RefSeq, a predicted model, not a curated record